AAACAAGAUAACCACCAUUGCAGACAAUGCCUUUAAUGGAUUGCCAAAUUUACAGACACUAUGGCUACACACCAACAAGAUAACCACCAUUCCAGACAACGCCUUUAAUGGGAUGCCAAAUUUAAAAGAACUGAUUCUCAUUUUUUUCUUCUCAGCCAAUCUGCUUUCAAGACAAAUUUCCUCUGCAACUGACCAAUAUAAACAAACAAAAGAAAGAUUUGUGAACUUAUUCUUGUUAUCUUUCUUGAUGAAUACUAUUUGUUUCAUAGUCCAAUACCAAUUCUUGAUAAUGAUAUCCUCUGCAACUGACCACGUGUUUUACUUUUGUAUUUACAACUGUGUGUUUGCAAAACAUCCUAGUGUCACCUAUUUCUUGCACAUCAUAUUUUUCAGCUACAUGUAGUACCCUGAUACACU
Long non-coding RNA from Saccostrea cuccullata (small rock oyster), 417 nucleotides. RefSeq lists it as uncharacterized. The transcript has 3 exons. Lineage: Eukaryota; Metazoa; Mollusca; Bivalvia; Ostreida; Ostreidae. The record is from RefSeq and is a predicted model, not a curated record.